This 508-nucleotide ribosomal RNA is filed under the name uncultured bacterium. RNAcentral describes it as "bacterial SSU rRNA". It matches the Rfam family "Bacterial small subunit ribosomal RNA", at positions 975 to 1482 of the family's 1533-position model. The record is from RNAcentral.
CAGGUCUUGACAUCCUCUGACACUCCUAGAGAUAGGACUUUCCCCUUCGGGGGACAGAGUGACAGGUGGUGCAUGGUUGUCGUCAGCUCGUGUCGUGAGAUGUUGGGUUAAGUCCCGCAACGAGCGCAACCCUUGAUCUUAGUUGCCAGCAUUUAGUUGGGCACUCUAAGGUGACUGCCGGUGACAAACCGGAGGAAGGUGGGGAUGACGUCAAAUCAUCAUGCCCCUUAUGACCUGGGCUACACACGUGCUACAAUGGAUGGUACAAAGGGCUGCAAGACCGCGAGGUUUAGCCAAUCCCAUAAAACCAUUCUCAGUUCGGAUUGUAGGCUGCAACUCGCCUACAUGAAGCCGGAAUCGCUAGUAAUCGCGGAUCAGCAUGCCGCGGUGAAUACGUUCCCGGGCCUUGUACACACCGCCCGUCACACCACGAGAGUUUGUAACACCCGAAGUCGGUGGGGUAACCGUAAGGAGCCAGCCGCCUAAGGUGGGACAGAUGAUUGGGGUG